GUGUCAGCAGCCGCGGUAAUACGAGAGCCCCGAGCGUUAUCCGGAUUUAUUGGGCGUAAAGCGUGUGCAGGUGGUUUAUCGCAUCUUUUGUUAAAUUCCAGGGCUCAACCCUGGAGCCGCAAAAGAGAUGGAUAAGCUAGAGACUGGAAGAGGCAAGCGGAAUUGCUGGUGUAGGGGUUAAAUCCGUUAAUAUCAGCAGGAACACCAAAUGCGUAAGCAGCUUGCUAGGACAGUUCUGACACUCAUACACGAAAGCGUGGGGAGCGAAUGGGAUUAGAAACCCUCGUAGUCC
RNAcentral lists this ribosomal RNA (292 nucleotides) under uncultured bacterium. Its description in RNAcentral is "partial 16S ribosomal RNA". It matches the Rfam family "Bacterial small subunit ribosomal RNA", at positions 505 to 796 of the family's 1533-position model. The record is from RNAcentral.